This 256-nucleotide ribosomal RNA is filed under the name uncultured bacterium. Its description in RNAcentral is "partial 16S ribosomal RNA". It matches the Rfam family "Bacterial small subunit ribosomal RNA", at positions 524 to 778 of the family's 1533-position model. The record is from RNAcentral.
UACGUAGGGGGCAAGCGUUGUCCGGAUUUAUUGGGCGUAAAGAGCGUGUAGGCGGCCUGAAAGGUCAGCUGUGAAAACUCGAGGCUCAACCUCGAGACGUCGGUUGAAACCAUCUGGCUAGAGUCCGGAAGAGGAGUGUGGAAUUCCCGGUGUAGCGGUGAAAUGCGCAGAUAUCGGGAAGAACACCCGUGGCGAAGGCGGCACUCUGGGACGGUACUGACGCUGAGACGCGAAAGCGUGGGGAGCCGAACGAGGA